RNAcentral lists this long non-coding RNA (1191 nucleotides) under Oryzias sinensis (Chinese medaka). RNAcentral's name for it is "lncRNA (ENSOSIG00000003510.1)". Lineage: Eukaryota; Metazoa; Chordata; Actinopteri; Beloniformes; Adrianichthyidae. The record is from RNAcentral.
AUGAUAAGAAAAAACUGCUUUUAUCUUCAAUUUAAGGUAAAGAAAGAAAGAAUGAGUGCUAAAAUUCCAAUCUCGUCUUUUAUAAAUUCUAAACCGCCUGGCCCUGCAGUUGUCCAAAGGAGACAAAUAAAUGAGAGCACUAGGGCACAGUUUGUAGAAAUGAUAAACCCUGAAAACGUCUCUGGUGCCAAUGUUGAUGAAAUGCUGAAUUCUGUUACUUCUAGCAUCUUGAAUGUUCUGGAUGCCAUUGCCCCUAUGAAAGUUAAAUUGAGAAAACAUAGACAGAAAGCUCCCUGGAGGAAUGAUGAUCUAGUCAGGGCACAGAAACAACAGUGCCGCAGAGCCGAGCGAAAGUGGCGCAAGUCAAAACUCCAGGUUCAUUAUGAAAUAUAUAAGGCGGAGUUGUACGCUUACAACCAGAUCUUAUGCAGAACAAGGGAAAGGUACUUCUCUGAAAUAAUUGGAAGUUGCAGCAGCAACUCUCGUAUCCUGUUCACAACAGUUAACAGAUUAACUAACCCUCCAAUCCAGCUACCAAUAGAACUGGUUUGUACACCUAAAUGUAAUGAGUUUGCUGUAUUUUUCAAUGACAAGGUUCAGGGCAUUAAAAAAGCCAUCAACUCCACAACACAUAUAACUAUCCAACGGCCACCUACUCACUCUAAGCUGACUCACUUUGUACCUGUCACUGACCAAAUUGUCCAAGAGACCAUCACCCGUCUGAGCUCGUCUACAUGCUGCCUUGAUGUGUUACCCACUAGAUUUCUAAAGUCUGUCUUGAACAGUGUGUUGCCAUCAAUUACUCAAAUAGUUAACAUGUCUCUUCAAUCUGGAAUAUUUCCAGAGGCCUUAAAAACUGCAGUCAUUAAACCCCUCCUGAAAAAGAGCGGUCUUGAUCCCACUGUACUGAAUAAUUACAGACCUAUCUCUAAUCUCCCAUUUUUAGGAAAAGUCUUUGAAAAAGUUGUCUACCAACAGCUCACUGACUUUCUCUUAUUAAACAAUUCAUUUGAUGUUUUCCAGUCAGGUUUUAGACCGCAUCAUAGCACAGAAACUGCUCUUAUCAAGGUAACCAAUGACAUCCGCCUGAACACUGAUGAUGGAAAAGUCUCUGUCUUAAUCCUGCUAGACCUGAGCGCUGCCUUUGAUACUGUUGAUCAUGGGAUCCUUUUGCACAGACUCCAAGACUAG